UUUUUUGGUUUUUUCACGACU
This is a non-coding RNA of Caenorhabditis elegans, 21 nucleotides long. The record is from Ensembl. NCBI's taxonomy places the organism in Eukaryota, Metazoa, Nematoda, Chromadorea, Rhabditida, Rhabditidae.